RNAcentral lists this transfer RNA (73 nucleotides) under Stegodyphus mimosarum. It matches the Rfam family "tRNA". From Rfam's summary of the family: Transfer RNA (tRNA) molecules are approximately 80 nucleotides in length. The record is from Rfam by way of RNAcentral. Lineage: Eukaryota; Metazoa; Arthropoda; Arachnida; Araneae; Eresidae.
GCCAUCGUGGUGUAGUGGUCAGCGCACUCGACGAGUAUUCGAAAGGUCCGUGGUUCGAUUCCCGGCGAAGGCG